AGUGAACGCUGGCGGUAGGCCUAACACAUGCAAGUCGAACGGCAGCACAGUAAGAGCUUGCUCUUACGGGUGGCGAGUGGCGGACGGGUGAGGAAUACAUCGGAAUCUACUUUUUCGUGGGGGAUAACGUAGGGAAACUUACGCUAAUACCGCAUACGACCUACGGGUGAAAGCAGGGGAUCUUCGGACCUUGCGCGAUUGAAUGAGCCGAUGUCGGAUUAGCUAGUUGGCGGGGUAAAGGCCCACCAAGGCGGCGAUCCGUAGCUGGUCUGAGAGGAUGAUCCGCCACCCUGGAGCUGAGACACGGUCCAGACUCCUACGGUGGGCAGCAGUGGGGAAUAUUGCACAAUGGGCGCGAGCCUGAUCCAGCCAUACCGCGUGGGUGCAGAAGGACUUCGGGUUGUAAAGCCAUUUUGUUGGGAAAGAAAAACAGCAGGUUAAUACCCCGCUGUUCUGACGGUACCCAAAGAAUAAGCACCGGCUAACUUCGUG
Molecule: ribosomal RNA, 492 nt
Filed under: uncultured bacterium
Lineage: Bacteria
Description: partial 16S ribosomal RNA
Rfam family: Bacterial small subunit ribosomal RNA
Source: RNAcentral